Molecule: ribosomal RNA, 354 nt
Filed under: Pharaxonotha floridana
Lineage: Eukaryota; Metazoa; Arthropoda; Insecta; Coleoptera; Erotylidae
Description: partial 12S ribosomal RNA
Source: RNAcentral
UUUAAAUGUAAAUUUUAUUACUAGAUUAGUAUUAGUUAUGUUCUUGAAAAUUAAAAAAUUUGGCGGUAUUUUAGUCUAUUCAGAGGAACCUGUCCUAUAAUUGAUAUUCCACGAUUAAAUUUAUUUACUUUAUUAAGUUUGUAUAUCGUCGUAGUUUGAAUAUUUUAGAAGAAAAAGAAUAUUCAAAAUUUUUUAUAUAAAAAAUAAAUCAGAUCAAGGUGCAGUUUAUAAGUAAGGAGAGAUGGGUUACAAUAAUAAUAUUUAUAAUGAAUAUAAAAAUUUAAAUUUUAUUGAAAGUGGAUUUGAAAGUAAUUUUAAUUAGUUAAUUAAAAUGAUUUUAGCUCUAAAAUAUGU